This 256-nucleotide ribosomal RNA is filed under the name uncultured bacterium. RNAcentral describes it as "partial 16S ribosomal RNA". It matches the Rfam family "Bacterial small subunit ribosomal RNA", at positions 524 to 776 of the family's 1533-position model. The record is from RNAcentral.
UACGAAGGGGCUGGAGACGUUGUUCGGAAUUUACUGGGCGUAAAGGGCGCGUAGGCGGCCUGCUAAGUCGAACGUGAAAUCCCCGAGCUCAACUCGGGAACUGCGUCCGAUACUGGCAGGCUUGAAUCCGGGAGAGGGAUGCGGAAUUCCAGGUGUAGCGGUGAAAUGCGUAGAUAUCUGGAGGAACACCGGUGGCGAAGGCGGCAUCCUGGACCGGCAUUGACGCUGAGGCGCGAAAGCCAGGGGAGCAAACGGG